Molecule: ribosomal RNA, 431 nt
Filed under: uncultured bacterium
Lineage: Bacteria
Description: partial 16S ribosomal RNA
Rfam family: Bacterial small subunit ribosomal RNA
Source: RNAcentral
AACGAACGCUGGCGGCAGGCUUAACACAUGCAAGUCGAACGCCCCGCAAGGGGAGUGGCCGACGGGUGAGUAACGCGUGGGAAUCUACCCAUCCCUACGGAAUAACGCAUGGAAACGUGUGCUAAUACCGUAUACGCCCUACGGGGGAAAGAUUUAUCGGGGAUGGAUGAGCCCGCGUUGGAUUAGCUAGUUGGUGGGGUAAAGGCCUACCAAGGCGACGAUCCAUAGCUGGUCUGAGAGGAUGAUCAGCCACAUUGGGACUGAGACACGGCCCAAACUCCUACGGGAGGCAGCAGUGGGGAAUAUUGGACAAUGGGCGCAAGCCUGAGCCAGCCAUGCCGCGUGAGUGAUGAAGGCCUUAGGGUUGUAAAGCUCUUUCACCGGAGAAGAUAAUGACGGUAUCCGGAGAAGAAGCCCCGGCUAACUUCGUG